Pygocentrus nattereri (red-bellied piranha) is the source of this 2845-nucleotide long non-coding RNA. RefSeq lists it as uncharacterized. The record is from RefSeq and is a predicted model, not a curated record. The transcript is spliced from 9 exons. NCBI's taxonomy places the organism in Eukaryota, Metazoa, Chordata, Actinopteri, Characiformes, Serrasalmidae.
CCCCCCAAAUAAUUACUUCUUUUUAUAUAAUGGUCAUGUGUUAUUAUGAAAUGGGAUCAUUUGCGAGAGAAGCGGGAAUUAACGAAGGAGGACAAAAGUGAGGAACAGCUGCUAAAGGAAAUGAAGAAGCAGACAAAGGAGGAACAGCAGACAGAGAGAAGAGAGAGUCAGGAGGCAAUAGAGAGCGGAAAAGAAGUUCUCAUUGAGAUGGAGAACCUGCAGGUGAGACUCAAGCCCACCUACUAAAUGGGCCUGUAGAAAAAGGACACGGGUGAAGAGUCAGGGUUAAAACUGUGAGCGUCAUUCCCCAAACGUUCUUAAAAAAACUCACCUACGCAGUGUUGAAGCAGAUUAACUGAUCUGUCUUCAUUAGGGAUUUGUUGUUAGGUAAGAACAGAAUCUACACACAAAGGUGCGAACAGUCUAUAAGAACACAUCAUGAAUCUGACGUAGACUUUUUUAGGACCUUUCUCAAGAAAAAUGAAAGAAAAAAACUUAAAUUGGUGAAUGAAGCCCAGUGUCUUCAACUUACUUAACCCUUACAAUCCCAGGCUUAUAAGGCCUAUUAUUCAGUAACUACAGGGCUUCAAUGCAAACUGGCUGAGUUAUUCUUAGAAUUAGGAAGUGUGUAAUAAAACUUUGGACCCUGGUCCAAAGAUUAAGGGGUUAAUCUUUUUGAACGCUGUGCUUAUUAUUCAGGAACUAUUAUUCAUUUUUGAAUAAAUACUUUUUAUACAUCUACUAAAUGCAAACAUAUCACUGUUUUUAACUAAUAUAUUUAAACAAAGUCAUAUUUCUCAGGGGCUGAUGAAGUCUGGACGGUUGUUUAGAUGCAGAUCUAGAACUUAUGCAUUCUUUUUUUAAGGUUGAAUAACUCUGUAGGUAACGUGGUUAGAUUAUAUAAUAUGUACACUUUAUGAAGCAAAAGCAUGUCUUAAUCUCUCAGAUGGAACGAGCAAAAUGUGGUGCAGAGAGUGCUGUCCAGUGUUCUGUCCAGUGUUCACUCCAGAUUUAUGUCCAUCAUGGAGUUCCGAAAAAAAUUCUCAAUGCAGCCUGUUCAGCAUGAGCAAGAGGAGUUGAAGGAUAAGUCUCCACCUCAUCCAUUGGUGCCACUCGGCGCUCUGACUGGGGUCCUGACCAUACACAUACGAAGCUGCAGAGACUUCAUGAAAACCACUCAUAUACAGAAAGGCACUCUAUGUGUUGUGAGGAUCACUGUGGGGAGAAUGGUGAAGAGCUCCCUGCUGCUCCCUUCGAAGACAUCAUCGCUUUCAAUGAAGUGAAACACUUCAUACAGUAAUGUGACGAUCCCUUGCAGACCAUCCUCUGUCAACAUCGUGUCCUCUCUGAUGGAACAAGAUGCACAGAGAGACAGAGAGUGCAGGAUAUCUGCUGGUGUAAUGGACUGCAUGGAUAGGAGAGGCAGGUUGUCACAGCUUCAUAAAACCUUGGAGGAGUGUGAGACAGGAGAGCAUAGGGUGCAGUCACUGGAGAGGUUGAUUUUGAAGACAGGAACUCUCACCAGCUCUUCCUACAAAACAUGCUUACUACUUCUGUAUCACUCCAGUGCUAGUAUGGUGUAUUGUUGUAUUAGAUAGACUUACUGUCAAAGUAAGGUAGUGUUGUCUGUAACAGUUCCAGUCUAAAGAGAAGGAAGAGAGGAGAAGAGAGGAGAAGAGGGAAGACGAUAAGCCAGAGGAGAGAGUGGAAAAAGGCAAAGCGAAAUGUAAGACGAGGAAGUAAAACAAGACCUCACAGUCUGCUCAGCUGGCCUUACAUGUUCUUUGAUGGCCUCCCAGUCUCCUGCAGAUGAAACUCAAGUAUAAGUGAAAGGUUAGAUCAUUUUAAUUACAUUUUUUCAUGCAUAGAAAGAAGCGGCCAAUUCUUGAAGCCAGGGCAGGCCCUUCCAUUAGGCGCUAUAGGCAAAUGCUAGGGGCGCUCGUGUGCAUGUGUUUUUUUUGUUUUUUUUUUUACAAAUGAGCAAUUAAUAAAUAUGAAAACAUGCAAAGUCCACGUAAUCAUAACUUCAUUGUUUAAUAAUAUUAGUCAAAUUAAUAAUUAUUAUAAUAACAACACACAACACCUAUCACCUCUGCACACCUCGUUACUGUUUCUCUGUGAGGAAAAAGACAACGCCACAGAGUGAGUGACAUCUCCCCGUAAAGAUGUCUAAAAGGCAGAAGUCCUCUGGUGCCCAGGGCAGAAAAAGGAGAAAAGAGGAGGAAGAAAGGUGGCGAACAGAGAAAACAAACUGUCCAGCCUAUGACCAGCUGCUGGUAAUCCCUUCCUUGUUGCCGGAACCGUUGAAAAACCUCAGACACAGGUAGAAGUACAAAAUCAAGUGAGGUGUCUGAAGGUUGAAUGUUGAUGGGCCACAGUUUUAUAGCUGCUCAGCCAGAUUUCUCCUCUGAUGACCUCCCAGUCUUCUGCUUUGAUGGUCUCCCCAGUCUCCAGCUCAACCAGACUCCCUGUCUUUCAUCCUACAUUGGGUCUCAUCAGCUACAGCUCCAUCCUAUUUCUGCCUACUCAAAGUUCCAAACACCUUUUUCUUCUUCAUUGUACAUUUCUCAAAUGCAUUUUUAAAACUUCCUCAGUGUUUACAGUUCUCUGCUAUUCCUUGUGUUUUGGUCCUUGCUCUGUUUUCUUGGUUUUAGAUUAUGGAUUUCUCUUGUCUGCCUGCCUACCUGUGUACAGACCUCUGCCUGUGCCCAUGAUGAAGAGUACUGGAAGCCCUCACAUGUGGGCUGCCUACACAGAUCCAGCACCAGUCUGAUGCAGCAAUGUGCAUGGAAAAGAGAAGUGCAGGAUGUCUGCUGGCGUAAUGGACUGCACGGACAGGAGAGGC